GCAUGGUGGCUUAGUGGUUAGCACGUUUGGCUCACACCCCCUCAAACCCCCCUCGCCUCAAAGGGUCCAGGGGUUCGAUUCCCGCCAGGGCCA
Molecule: non-coding RNA, 93 nt
Organism: Ameiurus melas (black bullhead)
Lineage: Eukaryota; Metazoa; Chordata; Actinopteri; Siluriformes; Ictaluridae
Source: the annotation of a GenBank genome assembly